Long non-coding RNA from Hemicordylus capensis (graceful crag lizard), 519 nucleotides. RefSeq lists it as uncharacterized. The transcript has 2 exons. The record is from RefSeq and is a predicted model, not a curated record. Lineage: Eukaryota; Metazoa; Chordata; Lepidosauria; Squamata; Cordylidae.
UGGGAUGGUGAUUUCUUCACUGGCUCCUCAGUAGUAGAGGAUCAAGAAAUUAUCAAGACAUGCUGUACUUUCAGGAAGCAAUGCAGUAGACGUGGGACAGGCGAAAAGAAGAUUGGAAUCUACUGGUGGAUCUGUGAAAGAUUUGCAAUAGAUUCCAAAGUUUGGCAGUUGUUAGCAAUGAGGGCAAAUGAAGUAGACAGGACAAAUUGUUCUAAUUCUCAAUGAAAGAACACUUCACCCUCUUUCAACAUGAAAGAAAAGAACACCAAAAAGGAAGCCUUUUGAUGCUGCUAAAAAUGCUCACAAAAAGUGCCCCUCUUUAAGCUUAUCACUAAGUUACUUAUUCCCCUCAGAAACUAGGAUACUACAUUCUGUACUUUCAGCCUCAAAGAGUCUUCAAGGGAUUAGAUAGCAGUUUCAGAAGACCAGGAGGGCACAACGUCAGACUCGUGAGAAGCUGUCAAAUGAAUGCCAUAUGCCCAGUGAAUGCCAAAUAAAUACUCAGAUCUUUUCAAAGUA